This is a long non-coding RNA of Helicoverpa armigera (cotton bollworm), 710 nucleotides long. RefSeq lists it as uncharacterized. NCBI's taxonomy places the organism in Eukaryota, Metazoa, Arthropoda, Insecta, Lepidoptera, Noctuidae. The transcript has 2 exons. The record is from RefSeq and is a predicted model, not a curated record.
CAUUGCGGUUUUAAAUGACGAUAAACCAACAAAAUAUAGAAGUGAGGACCAUUUUCAAUAUUUAUGGGAAUAACAACUCAUUUUACUAUAAAUAGCAAAACGCGUAUCAAAGGGCAAUUAGCAUGAGUAAAUAUUUAAAAUUAUUCCUUCCUUUAUAUAGCUUUAAUUAUUUACACAGUUAAAUAUCAUUGGUUCAGUGUCCCUUCUAAUAUAAGUGCGUUCGUUCACUGAGUUUAAUAUAUUACCUAUUUAAUUGUUGUUCAGUAAAGUAGUGGUUAUGUUGAAGGUACUCAUUGUAUUAGGGUUGGUGGGAGUGUCGUGGGCAGGCAUUAUAACUGGUUAUUAUCGCCCUGCUGCUGGUGUGGUACGUUCCCAAGAAUGUCCACCCAACUUGGCGUACAGUAUGCUGGUGCGAAGAUGUGUAUCGCGAGAACAAUAUUUUAUGGAAACGUAUUUCGACUAUAAUGACUAUUAAAUGGAUUGGGUACCUAUUGAAGAAAUUGUAGUCAGCAUGGUCUGAACAAUAUUGUGCCUUAAUACAAUAAUAAUACAAUCGUUAAGGAGAACUGAAAACUAUCAAAAUUGCCAAUUCACGAUUCAUGUUUUAUACUUAGUUUAUAUUAAUGUACUUAAAUAGCCAUAUUAUGUACUUUUACUUACCUUAGUAUUGAAAAAAAAGAAGAAUGAAUAAAGAAUUUAGAUUGUGAUUA